This 296-nucleotide long non-coding RNA is filed under the name Olea europaea (common olive). RNAcentral's name for it is "long non-coding RNA (OEUR_LNC000902)". Lineage: Eukaryota; Viridiplantae; Streptophyta; Magnoliopsida; Lamiales; Oleaceae. The record is from RNAcentral.
UCUGCAACAUUGUUGGUAGCUUUGAACCCGAACCUCACGGCCGAGGUGAGUUUGUGACCCUCGGGGCUGAUGAGGACAACCCCGGCACCUGAGCCAACAUCCCCAGCCGAGCCAUCUACGAAGAGACUCCACAUGGGGGGUUCGACGGGCUCCAUGAUUUCAUCCACCUCAGGUAGGUUGGCGAAUUCAGCAACAAAGUCUGCUAACGCUUGCCCUUUGAUGGCCGCCCUUGCUUUGAACACAAGGUCAAAUUCACUUAAUUCCACUGCCCAUUUCAACAAUCUUCCCGAGGCAUC